RNAcentral lists this ribosomal RNA (1343 nucleotides) under uncultured bacterium. Its description in RNAcentral is "16S ribosomal RNA". It matches the Rfam family "Bacterial small subunit ribosomal RNA", at positions 28 to 1378 of the family's 1533-position model. The record is from RNAcentral.
GACGAACGCUGGCGGCGUGCUUAACACAUGCAAGUCGAACGGAAAGGCCCUGCUUUUGUGGGGUGCUCGAGUGGCGAACGGGUGAGUAACACGUGAGUAACCUGCCCUUGACUUUGGGAUAACUUCAGGAAACUGGGGCUAAUACCGGAUAGGAGCUCCUGCUGCAUGGUGGGGGUUGGAAAGUUUCGGCGGUUGGGGAUGGACUCGCGGCUUAUCAGCUUGUUGGUGGGGUAGUGGCUUACCAAGGCUUUGACGGGUAGCCGGCCUGAGAGGGUGACCGGCCACAUUGGGACUGAGAUACGGCCCAGACUCCUACGGGAGGCAGCAGUGGGGAAUAUUGCACAAUGGGCGGAAGCCUGAUGCAGCAACGCCGCGUGCGGGAUGACGGCCUUCGGGUUGUAAACCGCUUUCGCCUGUGACGAAGCGUGAGUUACGGUAAUGGGUAAAGAAGCACCGGCUAACUACGUGCCAGCAGCCGCGGUGAUACGUAGGGUGCGAGCGUUGUCCGGAUUUAUUGGGCGUAAAGGGCUCGUAGGUGGUUGAUCGCGUCGGAAGUGUAAUCUUGGGGCUUAACCCUGAGCGUGCUUUCGAUACGGGUUGACUUGAGGAAGGUAGGGGAGAAUGGAAUUCCUGGUGGAGCGGUGGAAUGCGCAGAUAUCAGGAGGAACACCAGUGGCGAAGGCGGUUCCCUGGGCCUUUCCUGACGCUGAGGAGCGAAAGCGUGGGGAGCGAACAGGCUUAGAUACCCUGGUAGUCCACGCUGUAAACGGUGGGUACUAGGUGUGGGGUCCAUUCCACGGGUUCCGUGCCGUAGCUAACGCUUUAAGUACCCCGCCUGGGGAGUACGGCCGCAAGGCUAAAACUCAAAGGAAUUGACGGGGCCCCGCACAAGCGGCGGAGCAUGCGGAUUAAUUCGAUGCAACGCGUAGAACCUUACCUGGGUUUGACAUGGAUCGGGAGUGCUCAGAGAUGGGUGUGCCUCUUUUGGGGUCGGUUCACAGGUGGUGCAUGGCUGUCGUCAGCUCGUGUCGUGAGAUGUUGGGUUAAGUCCCGCAACGAGCGCAACCCUUGUUCACUGUUGCCAGCACGUUAUGGUGGGGACUCAGUGGAGACCGCCGGGGUCAACUCGGAGGAAGGUGGGGAUGACGUCAAGUCAUCAUGCCCCUUAUGUCCAGGGCUUCACGCAUGCUACAAUGGCUGGUACAGAGAGUGGCGAGCCUGUGAGGGUGAGCGAAUCUCGGAAAGCCGGUCUCAGUUCGGAUUGGGGUCUGCAACUCGACCUCAUGAAGUCGGAGUCGCUAGUAAUCGCAGAUCAGCAACGCUGCGGUGAAUACGUUCCCGGG